Molecule: long non-coding RNA, 463 nt
Filed under: Brassica napus (rape)
Lineage: Eukaryota; Viridiplantae; Streptophyta; Magnoliopsida; Brassicales; Brassicaceae
Description: long non-coding RNA (BNAP_LNC019113)
Source: RNAcentral
UCAAACUGUUGAUAAUAAUAUUAACAACACCCCUCCUCCUACUCUAGAAGUCCCACCCCUUCCAACCAUUGAUGGUGAACCCCACAAAGCAGAACCACCUCUUCCUACUCUGGAGAUCACCUUGCUUCAAACUGUUGAUAAUAAUAUUAACAACACCCCUUCUCCUACUCUAGAAGUCCCACCCCUUCCAACCAUUGAUGCUGAAGCCCACAAAAUAGAACCACCUCUUCCUACUCUGGAGAUCACCUUGCCUCAAACUGUUGAUAAUAAUAUUAACAACACCCCUCCUCCUACUCUAGAAGUCCCACCCCUUCCAACCAUUGAUGCUGAAGCCUACAAAACAGAACCAGCUCUUCCUACUCUGGAGAUCACCUUGCCUCAAACUGUUGAUAAUAAUAUUAACAACACCCCUCUUCCUCCUCUAGAAGUCCCACCCCUUCCAACCAUUGAUGGUGAACCCCAC